GCCCCGAUAGCUCAGACGGUAGAGCGCAUCCUUGGUAAGGAUGAGGUCUCGGGUUCAAAUCCCGAUCGGGGCU
This 73-nucleotide transfer RNA is filed under the name Actinomycetales bacterium. RNAcentral describes it as "tRNA-Thr". It matches the Rfam family "tRNA". From Rfam's summary of the family: Transfer RNA (tRNA) molecules are approximately 80 nucleotides in length. Their secondary structure includes four short double-helical elements and three loops (D, anti-codon, and T loops). Lineage: Bacteria; Bacillati; Actinomycetota; Actinomycetes; Actinomycetales. The record is from RNAcentral.